Non-coding RNA from Oryctolagus cuniculus (rabbit), 1505 nucleotides. The record is from RefSeq and is a predicted model, not a curated record. NCBI's taxonomy places the organism in Eukaryota, Metazoa, Chordata, Mammalia, Lagomorpha, Leporidae.
GAUGCUCACUCAGUUUUGCCGGGUGACAGAAUGAUUUUCCACCCUACCGCCACUUUUCUAAACAUUGUUUAAUGAUUGAAGAUUUUAAACUACUAGAGAUUUCGUUUCUGUUUGGGGCUGUUUCCCUUGGAAUGCCACUUCCUGCAGGAAUCAGAAGUCCAGGGAUAGAAUUUUUGUGGGUUCCAUCCAGAUCGCUAGGGCUGUUGUUCACAACUGCUGCGAUGGCAGUGUUCCACAGGGAGGCUGAGCUGUCCCACCCUCGCCUGCUCCAGCUCUGUCUUGCAGAAGGCCAAUUCCAGGAAGGCUUUUGUGAUUCACAUCACCUAGGUGUGCCCGCUCCUCUGUACCCGGCAUCGCCCCCGUACUAGGAAAGAAGCUAGUAGGAGGUGCACCUCUUGAUCUGUUGCCCCGUAAUUAUAGUCUUAAGGAAUUUUGUUUAUUGAGGAGUCACACUCCCACCUCCACUACUUACUGGCUGUGGGAUCUUGGCAACCUCGAAGAGUCAAUUCCACCUCCCUUUUGCAAGGGAGAACACCAUUUCAGAGAGGUCAGCCAACCUGCCUGCGGGCACCAGCUCAUUGGAAAGCAGUACAAAGGUGCUGCGUUAGGUGGGCUUUCAGAUCUAAGGGACCUGGAGCGUGAUAUCCUGCAGCCUCUGUUCGUAGCUGACAGCAGGGACGCCCCCGGAGGGCGGGGUUCAGGAGCAGAGCCGGCUGCAGCCUGCUUGGUCAUUAGGAGAAGACAGUCACCCAAGACAGUCUCCAAGGUGCCUUCCGCUUUGGCGAUUCGGACCUGUGACACGAGGUGGCAGGCACUGCCUGCACUUGGCAAAGUGAAAAUAAAAGGACGGUGCAAACAUUUCAGAGCAAACUCUACAAACAUCAACCAGGGAAGACACGAGAGGCAGACUGUGGUGUCGGGAGCUCCGCACACGUCUGCACCGGACUGGCGCGAUUCUACCUUCAGGAAAAAACAAACAAACAAAAAAACCCCAACCUUCCCACUGUGGUUUUCUUCUUUAACUUUGUGAUGUCACAUGGUUGGACUUUUUUUCCCCCUCACUGGAGUUACCAGUUGCUUAACUACCCCAGACACAUAGUUUUUUAUAUGAAACUUAUUUAAAUAAAUCCGUGAAAGUUUACUUCUUUGGAUCACACACCCUGCCAGGAUUUGUCUGCUACCCAAGUGCAUCAGUGCAGUGAUUAAAAAAUAUUACAGGGGCCGGUGCUGUGGCAUAGUGGGUAAAGCUGCCGCCUGCAAUGCUGGCAUCCCAUAUGGGCGCCGGUUCGAGACCCGGCUGCUUCUCUUCUCAUCCAGCUCUCUGUUGUGGCCUAGGAAAUCAGUAGAAGGUGGCCCAAGUCUUUGGGCCCCUGCACACACAUGAGAGACCCGGAGGAAGCUCCUGGCUCCUGGCUUUGGAUCAGUUCAGCUCUGGCCAUUGCGGCCAAUUGGGGAGUGAACCAGCGGAUGGAAAACCUCUCUCUCUCUCUCUCUCUCUCUCUCUC